This is a long non-coding RNA of Acipenser ruthenus (sterlet), 1246 nucleotides long. RefSeq lists it as uncharacterized. The record is from RefSeq and is a predicted model, not a curated record. The transcript has 3 exons. Lineage: Eukaryota; Metazoa; Chordata; Actinopteri; Acipenseriformes; Acipenseridae.
AUCAAGCUUACAUGGUAUAACAGAAGAUACGCCACUCUGCUGUCGGUGGUUUAUUUGUUCGCUUUUUAAUCCGAGUCUGGUUUCUGUAGCCAGAGACUGCGCGGCUCCACCCACAGUAACUCAGAUUUCAAGUGCUCAUUCUCAGCGCAGUGGAUGAAUGAAGGCAGGGUCUGAGGCUGAACAGCAGGUCUGACUGACUGAAGAGGCGAUGAUGAUGUCACUGUAACAUAAGGUUAUAAUAACCGAACGGCAGCUGUUGAUUCCUAAACUAUGAAAACCAGGAUGAUCAUAGGAAUGGCACGUUGUCUAAAGCGGCACACAGCUUGUCUGGCUUGUCCACGCUGCUCAACAAUGCCUGUCAAGUUUGUGUUAACAGCAGUUGCACAUUAGUACUGUGCCUAUAAACUAUACAUAGGCUAUAAUUUGCUUUAAUAAAGAAGGGGCACAAGCAACCCUUUGCUUUGUCUUGUAACUUAAAAAAAAAAGGUGAAGGAGCUUUAAUGAGAGAAGGCUGGGAUAGGAACAGCGAAUAGAAGAGCAGCCAUAGGUCUAGACUGAGAGCAGUGAAAGAGGAGACACAUUUUCAAAGUGGUUACUGCAGUCUGUAAUCAAGUAUCCCUUUAGAGGAUCUUGUAUUGUAUGAAUUUGCAAAGCUGCAGCUGCCCCCACAACUGCUAAUAACUCCUAAACCAUUUCAGCUAGCAACUUUAUGUGUUCUGGAAACUCCUUGCGCAAAAUCUAACAGCAUGCUUCAUUUUUACUUGUGGACUAGGGUGGCUGCAAUACUGGGAUCAUGUGACUUUCUGCUUUCCGGAUGAUCAGACCUAAAGGUUCCAGGGUGGUGCACAACACUGCUUGGGAUUGGCUUUGACAUAAAGCCACGCAAACUACAACCACAGAGCAAGAGAUGGAAUUGAGUGGAUUCUUGAUGAAUGCAGUACUGUAUAUAUCCACAGGUUGUGAUGAAACUUGAAACUUUGGGAAACCUUGGUGGAUUACCGCAGUGAGGAAAACCCAGGACAAGUCGUUAUUCCGAGGAAGGGAGCCAAGAGGCGGUGAGAGGAAACCCACUGCAGUAGCACGGAGAAACACAGUGUUUCCUUUGAUGUUGUUUCCUGUAACCGCAAUGUUUUUGUUUACUCUUUUUAUUUGAAACCUGAGUUUACCAUUGCUGGUGUUCCAGGUGGUUUUCUUGUUUAUUUUCUGCAAUACUGAACUGUUUAUUUUCAUUGUGUGUUAAAAUAAA